This 1513-nucleotide ribosomal RNA is filed under the name Segatella copri. Its description in RNAcentral is "partial 23S ribosomal RNA". It matches the Rfam family "Bacterial large subunit ribosomal RNA", at positions 176 to 1673 of the family's 2925-position model. Lineage: Bacteria; Pseudomonadati; Bacteroidota; Bacteroidia; Bacteroidales; Prevotellaceae. The record is from RNAcentral.
AGAGCUAACGCAGGGAACUGAAACAUCUUAGUACCUGCAGGAAGAGAAAAUAAAUGAAUGAUUCCCCUAGUAGUGGCGAGCGAACGGGGAACAGCCCAAACCAGUGGCGUCGCAAGGCGUGGCUGGGGUUGUAGGACCGCGACAUUGUAUGCAAAUCGUGAACAGAACACUUUGGAAAAUGUGACCAUAGACGGUGAUAGUCCAGUAUGUGAAGCGAAAUGCAGCAUAGCGGUAUCCUGAGUAACGCGGGACACGAGGAAUCCUGCGCGAAUCUGCCGGGACCAUCCGGUAAGGCUAAAUACUCCCGUGAGACCGAUAGCGAACGAGUACUGUGAAGGAAAGGUGAAAAGAACCCCGAGCAGGGGAGUGAAAUAGUUCCUGAAACCAUACGCCUACAAGCGGUCGGAGCAUCGUAAGAUGUGACGGCGUGCCUUUUGCAUAAUGAUCCUACGAGUUACCGUCACUGGCGAGGUUGAGUGUCAUGAGACACGUAGCCGCAGUGAAAGCGAGCCUGAAUAGGGCGCACAGUCAGUGGGGGUAGACGCGAAACCAAGUGAUCUACACUUGGCCAGGAUGAAGUCCCGGUAACACGGGAUGGAGGUCCGCACCAAUAAGCGUUGAAAAGCUUCUGGAUGAGCCGAGUGUAGGAGUGAAAGGCCAAUCAAACUUGGAGAUAGCUCGUACUCCCCGAAAGGCAUUUAGGUGCCGCGUCGGAUGGUCACCGUGAGAGGUAGAGCGACCGAUAGGACAAGAGGGCUUCACCGCCUAUCGAGUCCUGACGAACUCCGAAUGCUCACGGUCUGCAGUCCGGCAGUAAGGGGGCGGGUGCUAAGGUCCGUCCCCGAGAGGAGAAGAAUCCAGACCGCCGUCUAAGGUCCCGGAGUUCUGCCUGAGUUAGUCUAACGAAGUCUGGUCCCUAUGACAGCUAGGAUGUUGGCUUGGAAGCAGCCAUUCAUUCAAAGAGUGCGUAACAGCUCACUAGUCGAGGGUCCGGGCAUGGAUAAUAAUCGGGUAUAAGGCAGACACCGAAGGCGCGGGAUAGCAAUAUUAAAAGUAUCGGUAGGGGAGCAUACUCACAGCGUCGAAUGGUGUACGUAAGUUAUCCUGGAGCGGUGAGUAAAGCAAAUGUAGGAAUAAGUAACGAUAAGGAGGGUUAGAUUCCCUCCCGCUGUAAGACCAAGGUUUCCCGGGCAAUGCCAAUCAGCCCGGGGUCAGUCGGGUCCUAAGUCUAAGCCGAACGGCGAUGGCGAUGGCAGAGACGGUUAAUAUUCCGUCACUGCCGCAUGGGGCGAUGUGGAGACGGAGCAGUGAAACCACCGCGGGGCGACGGAAGUCCCCGUUGAAGAGUGUAGGUGUUGAGGAUGGCAGGCAAAUCCACCAUCCGAGCUGAACUUGACAGUACGGAGUCCUCUUCGGAGGAAUCUGAUAGUGUGGGUAAUCAUACUCCCGAGAAAAUCCGCUAAGCUUAACCCAUGCGGCACCCGUACCGCAAACGGACACACGUGGUCGGGUA